AUUGUACUCCCCCCGUCCGUCCAACAAAAGAUGUCUCAAGUUUGUUAAAAUUUGGAUGUAUCUAGACAUGACUUAGUCUAUAGAUGCAUUCAAAUUUGGUCAAAGUUGAGACAUUUUUUGUUGGAUGGAGGGAGUAUCAA
This is a non-coding RNA of Brachypodium distachyon (stiff brome), 140 nucleotides long. Lineage: Eukaryota; Viridiplantae; Streptophyta; Magnoliopsida; Poales; Poaceae. The record is from Rfam.